AUGGCAGCUCUGGGCAUGAUCCUUAUCCUGGCAGCUUACUCAGGAGUCAGCUCCCAGAUCCAACUGACCCAGUCUGGACCAGAAGUCAAGAAGCCCUGGGGGUCCAUAAACAUGACCUGUAAGACCUCUGGUCACACAUUUACUUACCUUGGCAUAAACUGGAUACAACAGGCCACUGCAAAAGAACUUGAGUACAUUGGAUUUAUCAAUCCCAAUACUGGUGGUACUGGCUAUGCCGAGGCUUUCAAAGAACAAUUCACCAUCACUAGGGACACCUCCAUCAGCACAGCCUAUCUGCAGCUGAACAGCCUGAAGAUGGAUGACACAGCCUUGUAUUACUGCACAAGGUCACAGUAA
This is a non-coding RNA of Alligator mississippiensis (American alligator), 357 nucleotides long. The record is from the annotation of a RefSeq genome assembly. NCBI's taxonomy places the organism in Eukaryota, Metazoa, Chordata, Crocodylia, Alligatoridae.